This is a long non-coding RNA of Mercenaria mercenaria, 13039 nucleotides long. RefSeq lists it as uncharacterized. The record is from RefSeq and is a predicted model, not a curated record. Lineage: Eukaryota; Metazoa; Mollusca; Bivalvia; Venerida; Veneridae. The transcript has 2 exons.
AAAUAAUGUUAAAGAUACUUAAAAAUAGUUUGUUUUGAAAAUUGGAAAAUUUUCAGGUUGUUAAUCUUUAAGAAGAAACAUGAGGAAAUGUAUAUACUUAAUUCAUUUCCUUUUCUGACUGAAAAUAUGGAUCUGAUUUUGAAGUUUUUCUUGUCUGAAUAAAAGAUUGGCCUAUGUAAUAUGCUUAAUUUCAUUUCUUACGUUCAUUUGGAAACAACUAAUAGUUCCACUUCAGUUUAUGAUUCAAGAGAAUAUUCUGUUAAAUAUAAAAACAAAUGUUUUCAGGCACAUAAAAUCCUAGAUGAUGCCUUUGUAACAUAAUCAUAAUUCAGUGAUAUUUGAAUCUAUAGUAGAAAACCUAGAAAUGAUUAUGUUUUCUAGAAAGAUCUUUGUAACGAAAAACUUAAUGUAAUAAAUCACUGUAAUCUGAAUGUAUUUAAAGGUAAGUCAAUAAAAUAUUCAGUGUAAUAAAAUUGUACAACAUUGCACAACAUUGAUAUUUCUAUUGAAUUUUUGAGAAAGGGUUUAGAAACAGACAUAGAAUUUAAAGAGGGUUUUGAUUUUUUGUAUCAUCUGAACAAUACGGCUGUUUAUUAUUUUUCUUUGAUUUUAAAAUAAAUUUGUUGUAAAUGGUUAAGGGGAGAAGAGAGGAAUUGUCCCAGGAUCUCAUCAGUAAAAAAGGGCAGGAUAGAAUUUGUGUUUGUUGACAGAAACAAUGCUCAGCUUUUGUGAAGGGUAAACUUAUUUUUGUUUCAUAGAGUCAUUAAAUGAUUUUCAUCGUUAUCUGACACCCCUACAAUCCAAAAAUAGAUUCUCUCAUUAUGUGUGGUAGAAUAGUCUAUAAUAAGAUUGUAGGGAAAGUAACUCAUUGUCAUUAACCAUUUUGUCUGAUGUGUUUCCUCUUUUAUAAAACUGCCAGGGAGCUUGUAUAAUCCAUUUCAUUUACUGCUCUGAUAGAUAGUGCUUAAAAAUGCUUUUUUUUGUUAGGAACAGGAUAAUCAUCUGUUUUCUGUGGCAUCUCACUGUUACUAAAAUAAAAAAUGUAUGCAAUAAUGUCUUGGCAAUGGGCAUUCAUUUUCUUCAGACUGAACAGGCUUUUGUCGAAUUGGUUGAUUAUUAAAGAAAAUUUAUUAAAUAUUUGUCUAUGAGAAAGUAUUCAGCAUUUUAGAGGAAUGAAUGGUUUUCUAAAUGUUGGCAAGUUAUUCAGGUGUUACCAGACCUUCAUGGUGUUCUUAAUUUGUUGUUGUUUUUUUUUUUGUCAGUUUGCAUAAUAUUUUUAAUGCUUGUUGUUUUAGAAAUUUAUGUAAGAUUUUGGGCUGACAUUUAUAAUGGAGUAUCUGUUAUAUGAUAGUAAAUUAGUCUUUACACCAGGAUUUCAGAAAAAUGAAAACAUAUCUCAAGGGAGGAAAUUGUUCUUAUCGUAAAUUAACCCAAGAAAGUAUUACAAUGGAAGAAUAAGUAAUGAUAACAGCUAAAUAAUCUAAAAGAGCAGAUUGAGAAAAAAAUAAGGUAGGUGUAAAGUUUGACACAUCCAUGGGUACUACAAUAUCUUUUUUUUCAAAGUUCGAAAACAUGACCAAAAAUUUAUUGUAAGAAACUGAUUUCUAGCCCUUCAAGUUACAACAAAAAUAUCUUACCACAUUAUGUUUUAUGCCUAUUCCAUUUAUGUUAAAUAAAGAAUAUUUUUAGAUAAUUAAUAUAACAUUAUCAUAAAGAAAGAUAACUCUGACAUCAUGUUGGUAGUUAUCGGGUAUCAAUAAUGGAUUCUCAGUAGGUCAUUAUCAAGAUAUUUGUAUUCAUCCAAGUAUGAAUUACCUACGAGUUACUAAGGCGGACAUUUCCAUUAGCUUAAUACCAGAGAAAAAAUUAAUAGAAGGAAUUAUCACACAGUACGACAAUCUGAAAUGCAGAUGGUACUUGACACAUUUAAAUUCAAUGAAAAUUACUGGGGUUGAUUGCAAAACUGUUGUAACUUCAUCUCUAUUUAAUAUUGUUGAGAUAGUUUUACAAACAACCCUCGUUAUGUACACUGUGUAUGUUUUGUACAUGUAAAUCUGGAAAUCUUUUAAAUCAAAGGUCUGGUUAGUAUGGAUGUAAUUAUUUUGAAUCCUAGUACUAUUUCUGCAGCAGUUAUUAACUUUGUCUUCAAUGCUUCGUGUAGUUUACUAUAAAAUCAAUUUAUUUCUUGGGUAUCAAGUUUCAUGGUUUUGACCUUAACAACUAUUUCAUGGAGAUACAUAUAUGUGGAAUUGAACUUACGAAGAUGAAAUGGUAAUUUUAUUCAUUUCUUGGGAUUAAAUUUUGUGGAUGUACUCGGAAAUUUCGCAAAACCUUGUCCACCAUGAAUGUUAAUGACUUCUGUGUGUAUGAUUUUCUUUGACAAUGAUGUAGACAUUAACCUUUACCCUACUAUAUUUUUAAAAUGGACUAGUUUAUCAUUCAAUCUGAGCAGUACCAUGUAUUAUUCAAAGGGCUGUUCUGUGAAAUUUUACUGUUUGAAUAGCGAACAGUGCAGGCUGAUCUUGGUCUGCAGUGGUCGCAAAGGCAAAAUCAUUUGCCGCCAGCAGGAUAAAGGUUAAUGCUUUGUUACUGUUUUCCAGAGAUAUUAUUCUAGACUUAAAAUGGGUAAGAAUGUCUCCACAAAAUUAAUGUGGGGGAAAUAUGGAUUUUGUGCCGUCUGUCUGUCCAUCUGUCACAAAUGUUUGUUCUAGACUACUUCUUUGGAAAGAUUUAAACCAAAUUUUGUUGAAAGGUUCAGUACCAAGUAAGGUUUCAGAUGUUAGCAGCAUUUUAUGGUUGAUUUUAUUUUGACAGAGUUAUGGCCCUUUCAGAUUAAUAUUUGAUAAAGUUUGUCUGGACUGUUUUUUCUGUACUACUUUAUCAAGAAUGCUUUUCUUUCUUAACCAGUCUUAAUCAUAUUUAUAAUCUAUUUAACAGAAUGUGUAUGCCAAUGUGGUCUCUUUCAAGUUCAAUUAAGGGCCAGAUUAGAUAAGUAGAUUGAGAGUUACAUGCCCUUGAAUUGUCAAGAAAAGUGCCAUAUUUCUAUAUUUACACUCCAGUGCCUUCAUUUUGGAACACAUCCUGAUCAUAUUUAUACUGAAUAUUAGCCCUUAUCAUGCUGGACACGACUGAUGCUGCCUUUUGCGACCAGUGUAGAUCAUGAUCAACACUGUUCGCCAUUCAGUCAGUAUCUUUUUGGUGAGCACCCCUUUUAACAGUUAAUGGUACUGUCCAAAUUGAAAGAUGGACAAGUUCAUUAUAGAAAUUUAGUAGGGCAAGGGUUAAAGUCAAAGUGAAGUGGUCAGGGUAUUGAUUGCGGAGUUAUUUAGUCUUGAUUCAGUAAUAAUUCUGUGUUACAUUUAUAUUCAGUUUGACAUUGCAUUAAGUGCAUUGGUACUGAGGUGAAAGAUAAAGGGUCAUCAAAUCUCUGUUUUUACUUUCGUGAAUUAGUUAUGGUUGCACACAGUAUGCUGUUUACUUUUAAUGAUUUCCCAUCUUGUUUUCCCUCAUAAUGCCAGAUUCUGAUGUCUAAAUGAAGGGGUAAUGGGAGACAUGCUUUUUUUCAAUAACAGCCUCUUGUUUUACUUACAGUUUGAUUGUCUUAUUGCCUCUGAAUGUAAAAUUGGGUCUCUCGCUUUUUACUUAAUUUUAUGUAUCAAUUUGCAGAGUUAUGAUUGGUAAUAUUUAAUAUUUACUCAGAUUUAACACCAAGAAUACCAGCUUACCUCAGAAUUUCUGGAUUGUACCUCAAAAUGUUGUACCAGGUUUUACACAGAUUUUCAUAUAUUAUAAUAAUAGAAGUUUUUAUAACUGUUUGGUUCAGAUUUUCGGUAACAAGGUUUUGCAUUUAUUUCGCUUUUAACCCUUUGCCUGCUGGCAGCAGUAAUUCUGCCUUUGCGACCAGUGCAGACCAAGAUCAGCCUGCACAUCCGUGCAGUCUGAUCAUGGUCUGCAUUGUUCGCUAUUCAGUCAGUAAAUUUUCAGUGAACACCCCUUCAAAUAAUAAAUGGUAAUGCCCAAAUUGAAUGAUGGACCAGUCCAUUUAGGAAAUUUAGCAGGCUAAGGGUUAAUACAUCAAUGCAGUUAAAAUCAAACAUCUUUUUAAAAAAAAGGACUCUGAAGGUGGUAAUACAGGAAGAUUUUCUGUUUUCCUGGGUUUUAUACAGAAUGUUUACUUUUGCUAAGUCUGGCGCAUAUUGAAUAAAGUACAGAGUGCACAUUACUAAAUGCAUUAUGCAUAAAACUUUGAAGAUAUUAUUACAUACUUCUUUCUAUUCCCCGUUAAGUUACACUGGUACCGGAAACGUCAAUAUUUUUCCAUACACUGACACCUGAAUUUCAUAUCGGGUGCGUUACGUAAUUCAGUGUGUGUUGUUGCACUAUUUUUUCUAUUUAGUUCAGUAUUGUCAAUCCUAUUCAGGCUAUUGAUCAUAUUUAUGAUAUCUGCAUAAUAUUUAUGCGUGUAGAUGCGUAUGUAAUAAAAAGGUUAUUAUCUUUGCAUCGGGAAAUAUGCACUCGUUCUUCAGCGGAAGAAUAUUGCGCUCCUAAAGUCGCGCAAUAUUUCCACUGAAGAACUCGUGCAUAUUUCCCGAUACAAAGCUAAUAACCUAUUAUUAUUUCACAAUUUUUAUUUUUUUUUUCUGUUUGCACCAAACAUUUUGAAAAAACAAUUAGAGACUGUAGUAGGAAAUCACGUAAGAAAAUGAUUGGUCACAGAAAUACUUUUUAUCCAGAAACAAUGAGGUUGUUACCAGUUUUACCAGCUACAUAUCAUUUUUUCUCAAUAAAACAACCCACAGUGCAAACAAUGUGUGAAAAUUUAGCCACAUUUCAACAGAAAUGGUGGAUUUAACAAUAAACUUGGGUCAUGAUUUCAGCCGACCAAUCAGAUGUCUCGUAACAAAACAAGUUGGAAUUAUUAAAAAGGAACUCUUAAAACUUGUUAAAAAUCACUGUAGAAUUCGCAUGUUCAAAUUUCCAAAUAAUCUUUUUACCACCUGCAGAGACCUAUAGAAUGAAGUAGCUUACAUGUAUAUCUCGGUCAUGCAUAAUACAGAAGAAAUAUAUAAAAAACCUUGUUACAGACUUUAGGGAUCAACCAUUAAAUGAGCCAUGCCAUGAGAAAACCAACAUAGUGGGUUUGCGACCAGCACAGAUGCGCAGGCUGGUCUGGAUCCAUGCUGGUCGCAAACCCACUGUUGGUUUUCACAUGGCGCGGCUCAUUAAUAUAUUUUACUAGAUAUAAAUUUUGAUUUUUUUUUUUUCAUUUAGAAGACAGCUUUAUCUAAUUAUAUAGGAUAGUUUCACAUGUUUUCACAAUAUUUUCAUGGCUGGUUCAUUCGAAAUCAUGGUAAAGAGAAAGGCUCCAUUUCCAUACAUGUAAUUCAAUAAAAUUUGCCAUACCAACAUAAUAUAGAGAAACCAGACAUUGGGGUUAGAAUAUAUUAUAAAUGUCAAAUUUACAUAACUCGGCUUUAAAACUAUCUAGAGGACAGUGUCCUAUAUUAUAAUAAGUGAUAUUUGUUAAUUUCCUAACUUAAGAACUUGUAUUAUAGUACAAAAAAUAUGAUAUUGUUACCAUUUCAGGGCUUUUGAUAGGUAAUAUUUGAAAUGGAUUCCUGCUUCGCAUUAAAAUUAUUACUGUAACAGUAAGUGAUAAUUAGGAUGUCAUUUUAUCAUUUAGUUUAGUUAGUACUGCCUAUGUUGUCAUUUUAUUUCAGGAAACAAAGGUUUUAUUGUUUUGUAUUCUUUUUUUUUUUUAAUCAAAAUAAUUGUACAAUCAGUUAGUAGUUACAUUUUUUGCUUUUGUUUUUGUUGUUAAGUUUGUUUGUGCAUGAUCACAGACAUAUUUUUUAGAUUAUAGGACUUUUUUUAAUUGUAUAAGGUAGCCCUCUCCAUUGGCCAUAAAAAUCAUCGGAGCUUCGAUAAAGUGUUUGUUAUCCAUUUUGAACAGUCUUUUGUCACAUGAUGUAAUCAUAAAGUACUUGUCCAAAGAAAAAGAUAAAGAACAGGCAUCCAGGAGAGUUUUUUUUUUUUUUUUAAUAUUGAUGCUCUGUCGUGCUACAUUAAAUAUGUACUUUGAUUUUCUAUUUUAAAAAAAACAAUAGUACAUAAAUAGAAAUGAAUAUUAUCUACCCUGCUAAAUAAACUCUCACUUUUGUCAUUGAACAUUGUGGGUAUAUGAUAAAACUGUUAAGUCUAGAUGUAGAUGUAGAUCUGUUGAUCUGCCUGAAAGUAACAUUGACCAAGGAGUAUGUCCCCGACCUGCUUGAAAGUAGUACUGACUGCGGACUUUGUCCCCUACUUGUAUGAAAGUAGUACUGACCGAGGAUAAUGUUUCCUACCUGCCUGUAAUGUAAGAUCAACAGUGGAUAAUUCCUAGAUUGAUAGUACUUUAAGGUAGGUCAACAGAAGUGUAUAUUGACCUCAGAUUAAGUCUGAUUGAACAGAUUUAAACAAGGUGAAUAUGUUAAUAUACUGACACAUAAUGUUUUUUGUUAUAAUUUUUUUGUUAUUUAAACAGGGUGUAUUUAGGAGUUUCACUAUUUUCCAGCUGUACUUAUUGUAUAAAUGAGCCAUGCCAUGAGAAAACUAACAUAGUGCAUUUGCGACCAGCAUGGAUCCAGACCAGCCUGCACAUCCGUGCCAUCUGGUCAGGAUCCAUCAUGCUGUUUGCUAAUGGUUUCUCUUAUUGCAAUAGGCUUUGAAAGUGAACAGUAUGGCUCCUGACCAGACUGCGUGGAUGUGCAGGCUGGUCUGGAUCCAUGCUGGUCGUAAACGCACUAUGUUGGUUUUCUCAUGGCGUGGCUCAAAUGUGUUUUUUUUUUUUUUUUUUUUUUUUUUUUUUUUUUUUACAAAAAACUGUACAAGGUGGGCAUUGAUGGCCCAAUCCAUUGUACUGGUAAUAACCAAGUGUGCUAAAUUGUCUUUUUUGACAGAAAUUUGUUAUUGUUGUUAACUUUCCUUUUUAUUUGGGUCUUCAGACAUAUAGAAAUGUUUCUUUUUCAUUUAUUAUAUUUACACAGGCACAUUUUGUCACCUUUAUUGUAAGAUCUUGUACAUUUUUGUAUGUACUUUGAUAUGACAAGUUGAUCAAUAAAGGCACUAUGCUUAUUAUAUUACAUGUAUUUAUUAUAUUAUCUUGUGACACACAGUGUAUGCGUCUUUUCCACAUUGCGAACCGCAGUUAUGGAUCUUUAAUUGAUGGGGUUUUUACUUAAUCUUUUCUGCACAUUCUUUAACAACUUCCUCUUGAAAUAUGUUGUAAAUGUAUGUCUUUAAGUUUAAAUAUAGGUCAUCAGGUGUAAAUACAGACCAACUGGUAUAAAUAUUGCUCCUCAGCCUUGGCAGGUACCAGUGCAGGCCAUCAGGUAUGAUUAUUACAGAAUUCCUGAUACAAAUUUGUGCAAUUGAUUGGUGUAUAGUUCAACACUAAAUUUUGAUGGGCUAAAGGCAAAGCUUGAAGAAAACAGUUAUUAAACUUUAUUUCUGACAUCGUAAUAUAAAACAUAUAGUUUUUACCAUUCAGUAAGUGUAUAAUAUAGGUCAUCAGGCAUAUAAUAUAUAGGUUAUUGAAUGAUGUCUUCAUAUUGUUUUCAAACUUUUGUUUGUUCCAGAUAGGAGUAUAUACAAACGAUUUAUUCUUCUUCAUUAAUACGUUUGGAAGAGACGACAUUUUAUUGACCAGAUCGGAUAUCAUUUCUAACAAAAAUGGAUGUUGUCAUGAUAAGGAUCUAUAAAUAGUAACACAUCGUAGUGCUGAACAAAAAUCUUACACUGAAUGGAGUGAACAUAUUUAGCAUUACUAUAUAUAUAUAAGAAUGACAAGGUCGCCAUAAUUUAGGGAAUCUUUGCAAGUGUCGUUUAGAAAUCUUUCCUUGUCUUUGGUCAUAUGCAUUUCAUAAACAAACUGGAAGAAAAGGCUGGUAAAAACAAUGGCUCAUGUUUAUAGUAUUUCCUGUUUGGAGCAAGGUUCUUCCUGUGUGGCAUUAUUUCAGGUACUUCCUGUAUAGCAUAUUUUAAGUACUUCCUGUAUGGUGUAAGUGUACAUUAUUAUAAGUAAUGUAUGUUACCUGGUUACUGACUGUGUGUCCAGCCCAAGGUGUACUCUGUCUUGUCUUCUCUUGUUUUAUGUCCCUUCUCUCAGUCACACUAUUUCACUGUUUCUAAAACGUUUCAUUGUUCAUCCAUGUCAUGUCCUUUGUUCUCUCUAGUCAGUGUCUUUCUAGUUGUUUAUCUUUUAUUGAUUUUUUUAUAAUUCCCCAUACUUUUUAACCUUUACUCUGCUAAAUUUCUAAAAUGGACUGGUCCAUAAUUCAAUUUUGGCCUCCACAUAUUAUUCAAGAGGUGUUCACUGAAAAUUUACUGACUGAAAUGCAACCAGUGCAGACCAUGAUCAGCCUGCAUAUUGUCGUCUGCACUGGUCACAAAGGCAGAAUCACUUGACACCAGCAGGCUAAAGGUUAAGUGUCAUAGAAAAAUUUCAUCAGUUGUAGAACAGCAUAUUUUGUUACUUGCUUCUAAAUGUUAACUUCUGAACUAGUUUUUAUGGUACAACUUUGACAGAAUUCUUUGAAUUGAUACAGUGUCCUUCGUUCAAAAUCAUUCGGGCAUCACAGGGAGCUAAAAAAUAAUACUUUUUUUUUUUAUCUCUUGAAGGUUUUUGUUUGAAAAAGGUUGCUACACAUUUAAUGUGCUAGAGGUAGUUGAUGAAUAUACACUCGGUCUUUAUUCUGCUUUGACAUCUAUUUAAUAUAACACUCGGUCUGUAUCCUGCUUAGUGUUGUUUUUAUAUUGACCUUUGAGGUUCUAGAAUGCAAUGGAAAACAGGUGUUGUUGAAUGGUUGUAAUGUUAUAUGUUGCACUGUAAGCACAUAUUUUAACUGUUUAAGCACAUAUUUUAACUGUUUAAGCACAUAUUUUAUCUGCAGCACAGAUAUAAUCAUGAAAAUAUUAAUAUAUAUGUACAGACUAAAAUAGUUAUUUAUAAUUGCAGGUUUCAUAUUCAUGACUCAGGGAUGCAUGAAGUAAAAUAAUCCUUGAAGAUCGUUCAUAUCUCUUGGAACUUCACUUUUUUACAUUAAAACAGUUAUUAAAGCGGCAUGCCUCCAGAUCGUUCGACAACAAAAAAAAUAAAUUUUUUUUUAGAUUUCUUGAAAUAAAUGCUAUAUUUCUUAAGAAGGCUUUAAAACUUAAUUACUGACAAACUUUAUGUUACGGAAACACAUGAGAAUUUGCUGUUUUUACUACUUUUAACGAUGAAAAUCGAAAAGCGUUUGUCACGCUUUUACUCCAGGUAAACUGUCUCAAUUAUAAAUAUCUAUAUUUUGAAGUCAUUAUUCACUAUUUCAUCUAUAGCGCUAUUGGUUACGACGACGGGAAAAUGUAUUUAUUGCUGCGGCGGUCUGGGGUUCAAUUCCUGACGCGGUCAUCUUUUUUUCUUGAUUUGGAACUCUUAAAAUAUUUGAGAAACAAAAAUUCAAAUUCUUCAUAAUAUGACCAAAUUUCAAUUUGAAAGAAAGGUUAUUUUUUAGCCAAAUCUGGAGGCAUGCUGAUUUUUUCCAUAUAGGUUUCUUAGACAAUAUGAUAAAUGGCUGAUAUAUAAUAUCUGUUUUAUACUAAAUUAUAAAAUACUGUGUUCUGUCAGUGGAAUUAGUGAAGUAUAAUCCUCAUCAUUUUCUACAUAUCACUCACUGUCCUACAGCUUUGUCCUUGUACAUUGUGUACAAAUUUCUGAUUUUUUACAUACAAAGAGAUAAAAAACUGUAGUCACGUUUUUUUAUGUAUAAUUCUCAAUUCAAAUAUCUACUUAACAAAAAUUACAGAAUGGUAUGCUGAUUAAAAUAAAAUGGAAUGGAAUUUAAUGUCACAUGUGUCUUUUUUAAUAUCACAAGAUGUCUAAUGUCAUCUCCAUUUAACGUCAUCUUUCUUUACAUGAAUCUGAUUUUCAUGCAGAGAUUUAAAGUUCAUUCUAAAAUGCUUAGAUCAAGGUAUUAAACAUUAAGUAAAAAGAACUUUUUUGUUUUUUCAUGAAUAUAGAAUAUCGAGGGCCGAGCGCGAAACUAUUGUAUCUUGUUCUUUAUUUAUAUACAGUUACAAUAGUUUCGCGCUCAGCCCACGAUAUAUAAAUAAGAAAAUGUUCACAUUUUCACUCCCUUUGCUCAGGUGAAAAUAGUUGAAAUAUUUCCACCUGUCAUUGUCCUGUUUUAAUGUAGGAAAGUGAGACUUCUUUUUAUCAUUAUAAAGCAGGGAUUCCAGUUUUAGUUUAUACUUUAAAGAUCUUUUAUAUUUAAUGAUAUAUCUUUUUUUUUUUUUAGCUUCUGGUGAACUCACUCGUCAAAAUUUGACACAGUACAAUCAUUUUAAUUUAUUCAGUUCUUUUUGGACCAGGUACUUGACAUGGAGUUAUGUUUAACUCUGUAAUAAAUGUUAACUUAGAAUAUCAUUUUACAGAGUAUAAUAAUAUAUUGUGCAGUUUUAUUGUUUUAACAAGGUGUGGAUAUUUUCAUUCUGCCUUAAAAACUGUUGAAUGUAUAUAAAAGAUGGUGUCUCUCGAAUGAUCAAACUGAACAGUUCUUAGAGCUGUUGACCAAUUUAUGUAAUGUAUAUACAUAUGUUAACUCUUGUCAGGGGUAAAGCUAUGCCAUGUAAAGGCAAUAAAAUUGUACAAUUUUUGUUUUUAAAUGUGCAGUUUUAAGGAUUUUUUCCAUCAUUCGGUCUGAAGUUGAGACCAGUGUAUUAUCAUGCCUAUCUGAUACCUAAUGCAUUCGGAAAAACUUGUCAUAUUUGUCCCUGUGUAUGUAUAUUUUAUAGCGGCAGAUAUGAAUUACUGUUAAAUCUAGCUGUACUAUUUUGAAAACAUAUGGACAACAGUUUCAUGUUUUGCUCAGAAUAACCUAUGUAACUGAUGGAAUAUUUUUGUACCUGGAAUAUGAUGUGAAUAUUUUUCUCAUAAACAUGUAUGUAUUAUAUAGAAACCGGUGCAGUUCUGCCGUUAAACCAUUUCAGUAAAACUAUUGUGGCUAAAAUAAGUUAUGUGUAUGUACAAGGCCUUUUUAGAUAAAAAAAAUGCUUGUGUACAUUUUUCACUUUAUGAAUAUGUAGAAUUAAGAAAAUUUGAUGUACAUUUUUUUACACCUUCAGCUUAAUGUGAGAAGAGGCUAUGUUUUAAAACAUUGGAAAUUUGAAUAUUUGUGAGUCAUCACAUGAAAUGGUGCCAUCUUGUUGAUAAACACUUUGUUCUUAGUGCAACACGUUUACUAAUAUCUUCAAAUUCAUUUGCAUUUUUGCAUGCAACUUACACACUGUGUUUUAAUUAAGUUUUAGCACACAUGAAGACAUCUAAUUUUAAGUAUCUUUUCAAGGUAUAAAAUUUAUUAAACAUUUUUAGCUCGACUAUACGAAGUAUGGAGAGCUAUCCUACUCGACCCGGCGUCGGCGUCCUUCUGUGUCCGCACUUCGGUUAAAGUUUUGAUGCACUUUCUCAUUAUCUUUGUUAUUACUUGAUGGAUUUGCUUCAAACUUAAAAUAGUUGUUCCUUAUCAUCACCCAUAUCAUAUGGCACAAGGGUCUCUUGCAUCAAUAUUUCAUGAAUUAUCCCCCUUUUUACUUAGAAUUUCAGGUCAAAGUUUUGGUGCACUUUCACUUUAUCUCAGUUAUUACUUAAAGGAUUUGAUUCAAACUUGAAAUAGUUGUUCCACAUCAUCACCCACAUCAUAUAACACAAGGUGCAUAACUCUGGCACCAAUUUUUCAUGAAUUAUGCCCCCUUUUUACUUAGAAUUUUUGGUCAAAGUUUUGGUGCACUUUCACUUUAUUUCAGUGAUUACUUAAUGGUUUUGAUUCAAACUUAAAAUAGUUGUUCCACAUCAUCACCCAACUCAUAUGAUAGAAGGUGCAUAACUCUGGCAUCAAUUUUUCAUCAAUUAUGCCCCCUUGUUACUUAGAAUUUUAUGUUAUUUUUGGAUUCAUUUUCAUUGUAUCUGUGUUAUUUCACAAGGAAUUUGAUUCAAACAAAAUAAUUGUUCAUCAUCACUACCUGCAUCUUUUGACACAAGGGGCAUAACUGUGACACCUGUAUUUUAGGAUUUACCCCCUUUUUGUCUUUAAAAUUUCAGGUCAAAGUGUUGAUGCAUUUUCACUUUAUCUUUGUUAUUACUUGAUGGAUUUGCUUCAAAUGGCUAAAGGGUCAUAACUCUGGCACCAAUAUUUCAUGAAUUGUCCCCUCCUUAUACUUGGAUUUUCAGGUUAAUUUGGUGCACUUUCACUAAAUAUCUGACUUAUUACUAAAUGGAUUUGAUUCAAACUUAAAAGAGUUGUUCUACCUUACCACCCACAUCAUAUGACACAAGGUGCAUAACUCUGGACCAAUAUUUCAUGAAUUGUUCCCCCUUUUACUUAGAAUCUUAUGUAAAUUUUGAUGCAUUUUCACUAUAUCUCAGUUAUUAGGAAAUGGAUUUAAUUUAGACUUGGUCAGACUUGACGUAGUUGUUCCACAUCAUGACACAAGGUGCAUAACUCUUGCACAAAUAUUACCUGAAUUAUUCCCCCUUUUUGCUUAGAAUUAUACUUUCAUGGUAUUUUGAUACACUUUAUCUUUACCUCUCUUAUUACUUAAUAUUUUGACACAGACUCAAGCUAUUGUGCAAUAUCUUCAUCCACCAUUGGAGUCAUUAAACACUCCAGUGACAGCUCCAGUUUCCUCAAAUGUGCCCAGUUUCGCUAUCCAGCAUGGAAAUAGUCGAGCGCACUGUCUCCUGUGACAGCUCUUGUAUUUCCUCUAGUGUUGUUUCUGCCUGCACAAGCACUGAAAAUUAAAGAGAGAGGUCAUUUUCAUGUUUUGACUCAUACAGGUUAAAUUAUAAUUAUGACAAACUAAGCAGAUACGGCCAACUUGUGUUGACUUCAGUUUUAUGUUUAGUAUGAUUGUUUUUGAUGAAUAUGUUCCCAAUUGUAGUAGGAAUUUAUAUUGACUUUAUCAUCUCAUACUUUGUUCUCUAUGUGACAGUGCAGGAAUUAAUAAAUCAAUUCCUAGAAACAUA